RNAcentral lists this ribosomal RNA (445 nucleotides) under uncultured bacterium. Its description in RNAcentral is "partial 16S ribosomal RNA". It matches the Rfam family "Bacterial small subunit ribosomal RNA", at positions 354 to 796 of the family's 1533-position model. The record is from RNAcentral.
GUGAGGAAUAUUGGUCAAUGGGCGAAAGCCUGAACCAGCCAUGUCGCGUGAAGGAUGAAGGUCCUAUGGAUUGUAAACUUCUUUUGCAGGAGGGUAAAGUGAGCUACGUGUAGUUCAUUGCAAGUACCCUGCGAAUAAGCAUCGGCUAACUCCGUGCCAGCAGCCGCGGUAAUACGGAGGAUGCGAGCGUUAUCCGGAUUUAUGGGGUUUAAAGGGUGCGUAGGCGGACUAAUUAGUCAGCGGUGAAAUUUUGCGGCUCAACCGUAAAACUGCCGUUGAAACUGUUAGUCUUGAGUGCGGUAGAGGUAGGCGGAAUGUGUGGUGUAGCGGUGAAAUGCUUAGAUAUCACACAGAACACCGAUUGCGUAGGCAGCUUACUGGAGCGCAACUGACGCUGAGGCACGAAAGCGUGGGGAUCGAACAGGAUUAGAAACCCUGGUAGUCC